Molecule: long non-coding RNA, 4310 nt
Filed under: Sus scrofa (pig)
Lineage: Eukaryota; Metazoa; Chordata; Mammalia; Artiodactyla; Suidae
Description: lncRNA (ENSSSCG00015076787.1)
Source: RNAcentral
AUUCCUGGGAUGCUGGGGCACCUGAAACUCUGAGACCUGAUGGCUGAGUGAAUGAGGAGAAAAGCUGCAUGCAAAGUUCACAUCUAAGAGUAAUGUGAAGAGUGGAUAUGAUCCGUAACAGCCUGUACCCAGGUGGUUCUAUGAAAAGACCACUGUAAUGAUCUGGGCAAAACAUGGUGAAAUGCUCAACCUGAUGAUGAAAGUGGGACAGGAAAGAAGGUGCGGAGGAGGGAAUUCAAAAACACAGAACACAGAACAUCGGAGGCAGAAGGGGAAAUUAUUGUGUGGCUCAUUACCAAGAGGGAAGAUUCUUCUGAUCAAAUUUAUGCAGACUGGGCAGAGAGGUAGAUCCAACGAGAAGAAACACAACACAGCAAUGGAGAAUUCAGGGCCGCAUCAUCUUUGGUUCCACAUAUCCACGUAAGGCAGGGAGAAGUGUCCUUCUAAGGGACGCCCUGGGGAGAUUUGACAGACAGAAGAGGAGAAAGCAAUGUGACCAUGGAGACAGAAGCUUGAGCACAAGCCAAGGCUGUCAACAAACACUGGACAUUGGAUAAGAGAUGAAAAAACUGGAGAUCUGAUUGUGGCUUCCUUUGGAGGAUAUUCAGGGAGCAGAUGAAAAAUGCAUAGCAAGUUCGACAAAAUAUCUGCCUGGAAUUCUGUUGCCUAGAGACCAAUCCUGAAGAACAUUCACGGCCAUGGCCUCUUAGAGAUUUAAGACUUCUAAUGAGGAGCUGACAGAAAUCAUCAGCCUGUUCCCCAUCAAUUAAUACCAGUCUUUCUGGCCACUGGGAUUCUUCAGAAUGAAGCAGAUGCAUGAAAUAGAAGAAGUGGCACUGGAGGUGGACCAUGCCUCUUUAUCUUAUCCCACUUGCAAAGCCAAGCCCUGAGGUCCUGCCCGACGGCAUCACUGAAUCUUGGUGUCUCAGUACCCACACUGCUCGCACACCACCAUGCUGAAGACGCUGAAUCUUUAACAAGGAAGCGCAGAUUUCAGAUGUGAGUGGAGCCGCUCCUUGGGCCUUUGGGAGGGCAGUGCUGAGACGGGUCCAGGUCAUGAAAGCAGAAAUCAGCUCCUAUGUAUCUACAAUUGUCUGAGAUCCAAACUUAGACCCCUGACAUUGCUGUCCAGGGCACUAACUUCUUGAACCUACUGCCUUAAUCUCUGCACAAAUUAAGCCAUUUUAUUCAUUACAGCUCCAUAAUUUACGACCUCCACCCCGACCCCAGAGUGCUUUCUGCCUAAAGCUUAGACGUCUGAUCCACAAACUAAUUGGUUCAAUUUACUUCCCUGCCAAUUAACUACCUUAAGAAAGAGAAAGGACCCAGGAACAGGGUAUCACUCUGAGUUUAAAAAAUUAGUAAUAUACAUUUUUGGGAUAUUCCUGAAAUCCUUCCAAUAGAUGUCUUUUCUCCCAAAGUUGAAUAGUCUUGGUAGAACCAUCCCUGGUCAAUCACUCAGGGCGAUCUAUGAUCAAUGACAAACAUUUUAUUAUAGUUCCCAAGGUUAGAGGUAAUGUCAGUUAUUUCUGGGGGCAGGAUCAUGUCUUCUUAUUCACCUCUGUACCCUUAGGAUGAAUUAAUGUAAAAAAAUUAGGCUAUACAGCCAAUCCAUUCAUUCAUUUGAUUGCAGUAUUUAUGGAGAUCCUAUGCGCCAACUACUAUUUUAGACGUUUGGAAUAUAUCUGGUAAGAUACUCAUUCUUGAAGAUAUUACAUUCUGGAAGGAGUGGGGAAAAGGCAAUAAACAUAAUAAAUAAAGUAUAAAUAUUGUCAGAAGGUAUUCAAUUCUAUGAGGAAUGGAAGAAUAAGAAUAGCAGGAUAAGGUGGAUCAAAGGUGAAGGUGCCAGAGGAGUGAGCCAAGACAACUGGGCAAGAAAUCCCAGGCAGAGGGCACAGUCCAAGCGGGAGCUUAAGGCACAUCUCAUUCAUUCAAGCAAGGAAGUCAAUGCAGCCGAAGUGGAAAAAUGAUAGUAGGUGAGGUCUGAGGUUAAGAGGAGGGGUCUUGGAGGGACUUGUAGGCAAUUUAAGGACCCUGGUUCUUAUUCUGUGUGAAAACGGGGAGCUGCUGAGGGGUUCUGAGCAGAGAAGUGACUUGACUCAGCCUCCAGUUUUUGUUUUGUUCUGUUUUGUUUUUUUUCUGAGCAAGACUACAUUUAUUUAUUUAUUGACCUAUAUUAGAGUUGACUUACAGUGUUGUGUCAGUUUCUGCUGUGCACCAUAGUGACUCAGUCACACACACACACACACACACACACGUAUGUAAUACAUUCUUUUUCUCAUCCUUUUUCAUCAUGUUCUAUCCUGAGAGAUUGGAUACAGUUCCCUGGGCUACAUAGUAGGAUCUCAUUGCUUAUCCUUUCUAAAUGUAAUAGUUUGCCUCUACCAACCCCAAACUCCCAGUCCUCAGGCUUUUGAAAAGUCCUCCAUCCUGAGUUCUUAGUUGCUAGGCUCAGAAGAGACUGCCCGGAGUGAGGGUAAAGUAGGGAGAUGAAGUAGGAGGCAAAAGCAGAAUCCAGCUGAGAGGUAUUUUUAAGAGGUUAAGUCAGCAAACUUCGUUCCUCCAUGAAUCAAUCCCUCAUUCUCUUAGCCCAGGCUGAAAUUACCUUAUACAUAUACCAACGAAAUCUGGUUGCAUAGAUAUAGCUCUGCCACUAAGUUUCCACCUGGAGAUACACUCAGGUAUUUUCUUAUUUCUUAAAUUUAUAAACAGGUGGUACACUGAACGGACACUGAAUUCAGUAACCACUUCCAGGAAAAGUCAUCAGGACUAACUCAUCUGAAGGGAACUUUCAAAUUCACCUAAGUCAAUAAAAGCAAAUAAUGGCUUCCUUCAAUUUGUUCUAAUUUUGACCACGUAAUUUUUUUUUUUUACAACUUCUCUUUUUCUUUUUUAAGAAUUCCUGGUAGACUACUACCUCUCUCGAACUCUUGAAUGUAUCUCAUUCCAAAGAGAAUGAUCAAUAAAAUAUUUUUAUUUCAUCAGAUUCAGGAUCCAUGCUGCACAGUUUAAUACACCUACCCACAUCUCAUCUGCCAUCACCUCAGAUUCAGAAACAAGACCAUCAUAUUUCAAAGAAGAAAACAUGAAGAGACAGAAUAAAAUAUUUGUUCCUAUUUAGGAAGAAAUUGUAUCUAUUUCUUUAGUGGGCUAUGGUAGCAUAUAUAAAUGGUUUCCCUCUCUUUCUCUCUUUUGGAGCUUCUUGUUAACUGUUUUGUUCUUUAGGAAAAGAUCUGUGGUGGUGUGGAUUGAAAAGGUUAUCCUGUCAUCAUUGUACCCAGGAAUCCCAUCUGGAGUGAAAUUUACCAGCAGUUUCACAUUGAUGUUGUACUGUCCUGUGUGGUCUUCUGUCAAAUCUAUAUGCUAUCUAGAAUAAAGAGUUCACCUUUAUUUAUUAGCACAUUUAAACAAUUACAGUGUUAAACAUCUACACUGUUGUAGAAUUGUACUGUAACAAUUGACAAUAUUCUAACUAUUGAAAAUAUUUACUGUAUAUUAUUUUUUAAAAGCUCAAAGAAAAGUAGGAUUUAGGGAGCCUGGAAACCUCUAAAAUUAUUUGUGAAGUUGUGUAUUGAUAUGAAUCUGUUAGAUGAUCCAACAGUUUAGGUCACAAUUUCAAAAGCACCUGUGGUGGCAAUCCCCCUCCAAAAAAAUAAAAAAAAAAACUUUUAAGUAAAAUGGACUUAGAAGAGUGCACAAAUAAUACUUUUAAGGGUUACUCAUAUAUUAAGAGAACUCUCUUCCAAUUUAUGGUCUAGCUCUGCGCCUGUGCCUGGAAAAACUCACACAUCUUUCUAGUCCCAAUAACCCCUGGCAGGAUUCAAUAUGUCAGGAAUAAAACUACCCUUGAAUUCAUUUCCCGAACAUUGUUUUUUAACAAUAUAUGAUCAUUAGCUGUCCUGAUAGACUCUGAGAUUCUCAUGGGCAGGAACCUGAUCCUUUUAUCUUUUUUCAUCAUUAUAAUAUAAGAAGGGGAAGGGACACCCGAGCUUCCUCUCUCUGCCAUAUGAGGACACAGCGGGAAGACAGCUCCCUGAAACACAGGAAGGAUGUCCUUGUCAAGAACCGAAUCUAUCAGCACUUUGAUCUUGGACUUCCCAACCUCCAGAACAGAUAUAUGCAAUGAGUAAUGUGACAAGAAAGAGACUGUGAUUCUUAUUGGUGGCAAAGUCACAGGGGCUGCUGAUACCACCGUGGGUUCUUACCUACAUUAAGAAAUGACAGAAAUGCUACCGGGUUCAGAGGUUAGUGAAAACACAAAUGAAUUAUUGUUCUCAUCCAUGUUCAUAAACCCUCUCAUUAAAAAAUCC